Non-coding RNA from Paramormyrops kingsleyae, 1928 nucleotides. The record is from the annotation of a RefSeq genome assembly. NCBI's taxonomy places the organism in Eukaryota, Metazoa, Chordata, Actinopteri, Osteoglossiformes, Mormyridae.
AUGGCCAUGUGGCACAUUUCCCUGAUGCUGAUCUGCAUUGCUGAGGACCCAAGGAGCUCAGUUCUUGUACGAGUUUGUAUCACCGUGAUAUGGGCAUAUGCUUUCGAGUACUGGGGAAAAGGCACCAAAGUCACUGUCGGUGCUAAGCUGCCAUCUUACAUUUACCCCCUUCACCAAUGUGGGUCUGCAGACUCUCGUGGUGACAUCAGCCUCGGAUGCAUUGCCAGCGGUUUUUCACCCCUGGAUGCCUUGAGCUUUAAGUGGAGUGACGGUAACGGUAACGUGCUGCCUGACUUCCAUCAAUACUCACCGGUCAUGGUCAGUGGAAGCACCAUGAUGGUCAGUCACAUCACUGUCAAAGCGGCAGACUGGAACAGUCAGAAAUCUUACAGAUGUGCUGCACAUCACCAGAACCUUGGACUUGAGAAGUCAGAGACAUUACAAAAGCCAGACCUGUCCUGCCGGCCCUGUUUGGAUGUGACCCUGAAGCCCCCAAGAGUAAAAGAGAUGUUCAUAGAUAACAGGGCUGUGCUGGAAUGCAUCAUCUCAGGAGAGGAUGAGGCAGUAAAAGAAGCUGAAGUGACCUGGAUGUUGGACAGUGUACAGGUCACAGAUAAGAUUACACAGACCGGCACAGAAAAGGCAGAUCAUCUCUUCAGAAAGAGCAGCAUCCUGACUCUGGCAGUGAAGGACUGGGAAGGUGGCAAAACAGUGACAUGCAGUGUGCAGCUGAAGGGUGGUCCUACUAUCACUAAGACCCUCAAUUUUGGGCAAAAAGGUACGACGACACCUACAGUCUCCAUCCAAACACCAUCUCCUGAAGACCUUAAUGGAAAAAGUGAAUUCUUCCUGCUCUGCCUGGUAACAGGCUUCUAUCCUGAGGAAAUAUACAUCAUGUGGCAAGUAGAUGGGGGCCAGUAUGAGGAGGGUAUUACUGGAGAGCCACUGAAGACUGGGGAUAAAUACUCUGUCACCAGUCUGUUUAUGGUCUCAAAAGAGAACUGGGACAAAGGCACCAAGUACAACUGCAACGCCAGACACGUGUCUCAAAAGGGAGCUGAGAUACCUGCAUUGAAAUCUAUGUCAAAAUCAAAGGGUAAUUCACUGGAAUGUCCUGUAUGAAUAAUAAUCGAUUAUUUGUAGAUGCCACUGAGUUUCCUUACACUGCAUAGUCACUGUUAUGUCAUGUGGACACAGGAAGGUCAGUGUAGUUUUACGUUAGACAUUCUAAUGCUGGUUAUAAACUUCAGCUUUUUCAGGAAGUCCACACUCAUAGUUUUAUUUCACACAGCAUGAUACAGUAAACCCCUGCUUUGCUCACCUUCUGUAUUUUGUGUUUGGUCUUUUUCCCAUGUUGUCAUUUUUUGUUGUACUAUGUGAAAAAUCAUUGUUUCCUGUUUAUAAUCUAAGUUUAUGAAGCAAGAUUAGUGGAGUAUUAUUAGUAUUCAACACGAUCAUUGUAAAGAAGACUAAUAAUGGAUGUAAUACUAGUCUGAUUUCAAUUAUUUUUCUUGCAUUUCAUAAUACAAGUAAAAUGUUAUCAAUCAAUAUGUUAUAUAUCUUUGGAGUUUUAAAAUGCCAUAUGCACUUUGAAUUUUGGAAAAUAUUUUUUGACAAACAUCAGGAACAGUUAGACAAAAUUGAACCUGUUUUGUCUGAUCUCUGUUAACAUUGUUUAUGAUUUUCUGUAAUGUCAUUCUGUCAUAUUUUAGUCACAUGUUCCUCCUCCUGAUGUUCACUGUGUCUAUCUCUGUCCAUAAUGAUGUCAUCAUUCGUCUGCUCCCAGUGUUACAGCUUAUUGUCUCACUGCUUGGAGAUGCAAAUCUCAGAUGGCCUGAAGGUCCUCUUAAGCCACCUCAUGUCACUGGAAUACUGUGAAUCUCCUGUGUGGCAUUUAUAGAAAUAUUAAUAAAAGUUACUGCAUAUGA